Molecule: ribosomal RNA, 477 nt
Filed under: uncultured anaerobic ammonium-oxidizing bacterium
Lineage: Bacteria
Description: bacterial SSU rRNA
Rfam family: Bacterial small subunit ribosomal RNA
Source: RNAcentral
UUCGCAAUGCCCGAAAGGGUGACGAACCGACGCCGCGUGUGGGAAGAAGGCCUUCGGGUUGUAAACCACUGUUGGGAGUAAGGAAGUGUGGAGGUGUUAAUAGCGCUUUCACUUGACUAAAGCUCCAGAGGAAGCCACGGCUAACUCUGUGCCAGCAGCCGCGGUAAUACAGAGGCGGCAAGCGUUGUUCGGAAUUAUUGGGCGUAAAGAGCACGUAGGCGGCUCUGCAAGUCAGCUGUGAAAGCCUUCUGCUUAACGGAAGAACGGCAGUUGAAACUACAGGGCUUGAGUGCGGGAGGGGAGAGUGGAACUUCUGGUGGAGCGGUGAAAUGCGUAGAUAUCAGAAGGAACGCCGGCGGCGAAAGCGGCUCUCUGGUCCGUAACUGACGCUGAGUGUGCGAAAGCUAGGGGAGCAAACGGGAUUAGAUACCCCGGUAGUCCUAGCCGUAAACGAAGGGCACUAAGUAGAGGGGUUUU